CAGUGCACCCCAUGGUAUACCAUCUUUCAGGACUGACCUGUUAUGGAGAUGACCACUUUUCAACUGAUCAUAC
This is a small nucleolar RNA of Myxocyprinus asiaticus (Chinese sucker), 73 nucleotides long. RefSeq annotates it as small nucleolar RNA SNORD2. The transcript has a single exon. NCBI's taxonomy places the organism in Eukaryota, Metazoa, Chordata, Actinopteri, Cypriniformes, Catostomidae. The record is from RefSeq and is a predicted model, not a curated record.